RNAcentral lists this ribosomal RNA (253 nucleotides) under uncultured bacterium. Its description in RNAcentral is "partial 16S ribosomal RNA". It matches the Rfam family "Bacterial small subunit ribosomal RNA", at positions 524 to 776 of the family's 1533-position model. The record is from RNAcentral.
UACGGAGGGUGCAAACGUUGCUCGGAAUCACUGGGCGUAAAGCGCACGUAGGCGGCUCGAAAAGUCGGAUGUGAAAGCCCUGGGCUCAACCUAGGAAGUGCAUUCGAAACUGCCGAGCUUGAGUACGGGAGAGGGUUGCGGAAUUCCCGGUGUAGAGGUGAAAUUCGUAGGUAUCGGGAGGAACACCAGUGGCGAAGGCGGCAGCCUGGACCGAUACUGACGCUGAGGUGCGAAAGCGUGGGGAGCAAACAGG